GUGCCAGCAGCCGCGGUAAUACGUAGGGGGCAAGCGUUAUCCGGAUUUACUGGGUGUAAAGGGAGCGUAGACGGCCACGCAAGUCUGAAGUGAAAUGCCAGUGCUCAACACUGGAACUGCUUUGGAAACUGCUUGGCUGGAGUGCAGGAGAGGUAAGUGGAAUUCCUAGUGUAGCGGUGAAAUGCGUAGAUAUUAGGAGGAACACCAGUGGCGAAGGCGGCUUACUGGACUGUAACUGACGUUGAGGCUCGAAGGCGUGGGGAGCA
This 266-nucleotide ribosomal RNA is filed under the name uncultured bacterium. RNAcentral describes it as "partial 16S ribosomal RNA". It matches the Rfam family "Bacterial small subunit ribosomal RNA", at positions 505 to 770 of the family's 1533-position model. The record is from RNAcentral.